GUCCACGCCGUAAACGUUGGGCACUAGGUGUGGGUCUCAACCAACGAGAUCCGCGCCGUCGCUAACGCAUUAAGUGCCCCGCCUGGGGAGUACGGUCGCAAGACUAAAACUCAAAGGAAUUGACGGGGGCCCGCACAAGCAGCGGAGCGUGUUGCUUAAUUCGAUGCUACGCGAAGAACCUUACCUGGGUUUGACAUGUACGGAAAAGCUCUGGAGACAGGGUGUCCUAACGGGCCGUACACAGGUGGUGCAUGGCUGUCGU
Molecule: ribosomal RNA, 262 nt
Filed under: uncultured bacterium
Lineage: Bacteria
Description: partial 16S ribosomal RNA
Rfam family: Bacterial small subunit ribosomal RNA
Source: RNAcentral